UGAGGAAUAUUGGUCAAUGGGCGGGAGCCUGAACCAGCCAAGCCGCGUGAGGGAAGAAGGCCCUAUGGGUCGUAAACCUCUUUGUCAGGGAACAAAAGCGAGUAUGUAUACUAGUCUGAGUGUACCUGAAGAAAAAGCAUCGGCUAACUCCGUGCCAGCAGCCGCGGUAAUACGGAGGAUGCGAGCGUUAUCCGGAUUUAUUGGGUUUAAAGGGUGCGUAGGCGGCGAUGCAAGUCAGCGGUAAAAGCCCGGGGCUCAACCCCGGCGAGCCGUUGCAAACUGACAGUGCUAGAGAAGGCGAGAGGUACGCGGAAUGCGCAGUGUAGCGGUGAAAUGCUUAGAUAUUGCGCAGAACUCCGAUUGCGAAGGCAGCGUACUGGCGCCUGACUGACGCUGAGGCACGAAAGCGUGGGGGAUCGAACAGGAUUAGAUACC
RNAcentral lists this ribosomal RNA (435 nucleotides) under uncultured bacterium. Its description in RNAcentral is "bacterial SSU rRNA". It matches the Rfam family "Bacterial small subunit ribosomal RNA", at positions 355 to 786 of the family's 1533-position model. The record is from RNAcentral.